GGGGAUUUAGCUCAGUGGUAGAGCGCUUGCCUAGCAAGCACAAGGCCCUGAGUUCGGUCCCCAGCUCCG
Non-coding RNA from Rattus norvegicus (Norway rat), 69 nucleotides. The record is from Rfam. Lineage: Eukaryota; Metazoa; Chordata; Mammalia; Rodentia; Muridae.